Molecule: long non-coding RNA, 840 nt
Filed under: Equus caballus (horse)
Lineage: Eukaryota; Metazoa; Chordata; Mammalia; Perissodactyla; Equidae
Description: lncRNA (ENSECAG00000046543.1)
Source: RNAcentral
GAGGAAGGAAGGUAGGAAGGAAUAAAGGAAGGAAGGAACCCAAAUGAGUGCUAGGUUGAAAAGAAUAUUCCCCCCUCUUUCUGCUUCCAGGUGGGAUGAUUUUGUAGAUUAAUAAUCCUGGCUACUUUCUGAUCUCACUCUUUGCCCCCUAACGUAGUAGAACAAAAUCCGACUGAGGAGUUUGGGAGAAGUAACUGGGCAUGCGUUUGCCUCCCUUCUUUCUCCUUUGGAUCCUCCUACUGAAAGAAGUGCUCUCCCCUGGCUGAAAGCCGUUUUCAAGGAUGCAGCCUUGAGAGAGCAAAGUGUUGUGGAGACCAUCUGGAUGGAAUACGUGACUGAACCCAGUUAAGGCCUCUCUAUAAACUAAGAUGCUGCCGGGCGGGUGCGGAGGUCUUCUGGUCCUGUGGCAGCUAAGACCAAGCCUCGUCUGAUGCACUGAAAAUGGCCCAUCCCCCUCUGGUGUUCUUCCCAAAUGUGGAUAAUCCCAAUCUAACCAUGAGAAGCCAUCAGACAAAUCCAAGUUAAGAGACAUUCUACAAAAACCUGGCCAGUACCAGUAUCCUUCAAGAGUGUCAAGGUCAUUAAAGACUGAAGAACAGUCACAGGUUGGAGAAGACUAAGGAGACAUAAUUAAAUACGAUAUGGGAUCCUGGAAUAGAAAAGGAGCAUGAGUGAAAAACUGGUGAAAUCUGAAUAAAGUCUAUGAUUUAGUUAAUAGUAUUGUAACAAUGUAAAUUUCUUAGUUUGGAUAAUUGUAUUAUAGUUAUAAGAGAUUAACAUACUAGAGAAAGCAGGGUAAAGAGCAUAUUGGAAUUAUCUACUAUUUUUGUAACUCUUAUG